UGGGUCAGUCCUAGCACAUGUCUCCACAUGUGUCCACAUUAUUAGUUCAACAUCUCCAUGUCCAUGACUUGUGAAACAUAGUCAUCAACUAAUACAUGUGCUAGCCUAAUAUUCAUGUGUGUCCUCACAUGAACUCCGACUAGGGACAACUUUAGAAUAACCAUACAAGUAAAGAGUUUCACAUACAAUUCACAUAAUUGCAAAUCAAUUCAAGUAGCCUUUAAAGAAUAUUCAAUGAACACAAUAUACAAAUCAUGGAUACAAAUGGAAUAUCAUCAUCUCUAUGAUUGCCUCUAGGGCAUACCUCCAACAGUCUCCCACUUGCACUAGAGUCAAUCUAGAAGGUACCUAAUACCCAUAGCUCUUACAUGCGCAUCAUGCUUAGCCUGCGGGAGUGGUUUUGUCAAUGGAUCAGAAAUGUUCAGAUCCGUGUGUAUUUUGCAUAUCUUGAUCUCAC
RNAcentral lists this long non-coding RNA (457 nucleotides) under Setaria viridis. RNAcentral describes it as "long non-coding RNA (SVIR_LNC010608)". Lineage: Eukaryota; Viridiplantae; Streptophyta; Magnoliopsida; Poales; Poaceae. The record is from RNAcentral.